GGCCAUAUAGUGUAGUGGUUAUCACUCGAGAUUCUGAUUCAUCCGGAGUUUGAAUUCUCGGAACCCAGGUUCGAUCCCUGGUAAGGCCU
RNAcentral lists this transfer RNA (89 nucleotides) under Serpula lacrymans var. lacrymans S7.3. It matches the Rfam family "tRNA". Rfam says of the family: Transfer RNA (tRNA) molecules are approximately 80 nucleotides in length. Their secondary structure includes four short double-helical elements and three loops (D, anti-codon, and T loops). Further hydrogen bonds mediate the characteristic L-shaped molecular structure. tRNAs have two regions of fundamental functional importance: the anti-codon, which is responsible for specific mRNA codon recognition, and the 3' end, to which the tRNAs corresponding amino acid is attached (by aminoacyl-tRNA synthetases). tRNAs cope with the degeneracy of the genetic code in two manners: having more than one tRNA (with a specific anti-codon) for a particular amino acid; and 'wobble' base-pairing, i.e. permitting non-standard base-pairing at the 3rd anti-codon position. Lineage: Eukaryota; Fungi; Basidiomycota; Agaricomycetes; Boletales; Serpulaceae. The record is from Rfam by way of RNAcentral.